UACGUAGGGGGCGAGCGUUGUCCGGAAUCAUUGGGCGUAAAGAGCUCGUAGGCGGUUCAGUAAGUCAGGUGUGAAAGCUCCGAGCUCAACUCGGAGAGGCCACCUGAUACUGCUGUGACUAGAAUCCAGUAGGGGAGUGUGGAACUCCUGGUGUAGCGGUGAAAUGCGCAGAUAUCAGGAGGAACACCCGUAGCGAAGGCGGCACUCUGGGCCGGAACUGACGCUGAGGAGCGAAAGCGUGGGGAGCGAACAGG
This 254-nucleotide ribosomal RNA is filed under the name uncultured bacterium. Its description in RNAcentral is "partial 16S ribosomal RNA". It matches the Rfam family "Bacterial small subunit ribosomal RNA", at positions 524 to 776 of the family's 1533-position model. The record is from RNAcentral.